AUACGGAGGGUGCAAGCGUUACUCGGAAUCACUGGGCGUAAAGCGCGCGCAGGCGGCCUGAUAAGUUGGAUGUGAAAGCCUACGGCUCAACCGUAGAACUGCAUCCAAAACUGUCAGGCUAGAGUGUGGGAGAGGAAGAUGGAAUUAGUUGUGUAGGGGUAAAAUCCGUAGAGAUAACUAGGAAUACCAAAAGCGAAGGCAAUCUGCUGGAACACUACUGACGCUGAGGCGCGAAGGCGUGGGGAGCAAACAGGAUUAGAAACCCGAGUAGUCC
Molecule: ribosomal RNA, 274 nt
Filed under: uncultured bacterium
Lineage: Bacteria
Description: partial 16S ribosomal RNA
Rfam family: Bacterial small subunit ribosomal RNA
Source: RNAcentral